UUUUUUUUUUCUUUUUAAUGAAUGGAGGGCGGCGGCGACAGCUGCAGCUGGCUCAGCUGCGUGGGUUGUACCCUCCUCCCAGCCUGCAAGAGGAGGCUCCCUUUAGCGAUUCUUAACAUAGUCCAUGGCCAUUACAACAUCAAAGAGUCCUGAGCCAAAUGCUCCUCGACAGGAAACUGGAAUGUCUCUGACCAAAGGUGCUGACUACGAAGGCAUCCCGAGCUUUUCCACCUGCCUGGCAGAAAAUCUCCAGGGGUCAUCUCUGCUGUGCUGCCCAGAUAAAGUACCAGGCUGGCCUUCCUGUGUGUUGCCACUGGCCAAGGGGUCAGCUC
Long non-coding RNA from Microtus oregoni (creeping vole), 332 nucleotides. RefSeq lists it as uncharacterized. The record is from RefSeq and is a predicted model, not a curated record. NCBI's taxonomy places the organism in Eukaryota, Metazoa, Chordata, Mammalia, Rodentia, Cricetidae. The transcript has 4 exons.